GGCACUGCACUGGUGUAAAUCCUCAUGGAAGACAUUGCAGCUAUGACAACUUACACCAGCACCUGAGCUUCCCUGGAAAUAACACUACAAAGCAGCAAUGUUAGUGACCAGUAGAGAAUUAUUAAAGGAACACAGAUAAUUGGAAGAAAAUAAAUGACCUGGGUAGAAGAGCUACUAUAAAAUGAAGUGCAGGUAAAUGGACCUGACCUACCUCUUAAUGAAAUCUCCUUUUUUACACGAUGAAGACAGCAGCUUGGAAAAACAGAAAAAGAAAAAGGGAGUUUAAAGACACAUGACUUCGAUGUUACUGAAGAUUGUGUCAUAAUCAUCAAAUGGAGCUCGUGCCAAAUAAACCAGAUGGAGCUUUCAAUCAACAAACUGCAUUUAUUUUUGAUAUCUGUGGCUUAUUUGUUACCCAUGCACCUUUUAAUAGGAUAAGGAUUUCUGAGAUAUUAUCACAUGGUUCUAUCAUGGAUACUUUCUGCAGGCACCAGUUUGCCACCAAAGAUACUAAUCAUGAAAGAAAGUGGUAUAGAAACUCAUAUUGAUGUUUUGCCUUUCCAGAGGAAGUAAAUGACAGCAAAGCAUAUUUCAAGGUCUGGUUGCCAACAUACUCAAUUAAGCAGAGUUUGGAGGAGGAGGAGAAGGAGGAGGGGGAUGGCUGGAAACUCCCAACCAUACUACAAAUGACAGCUAUCUGCUGUCAGAGACCUGGUGACGUUGAACCAAACUGUGAAAUAUGUGUAAUUCUUCAAAUAUCGCUGAUGAUGUAGCACCAGAUUUUUAUUUUUUUCCAUGUGCAUGUGACUGCUUUUGACCAUGACAGGUUUUCAUAAAUCUGGUGUCAUUAUAGAACACAUGACUUGUGUCACCACUGCUACAACAAGAGAAAUCCAUCACAGAUCAAAGUGCCAGGAAAAGUCAUCUUCACUAUAUAAGCCCCACUUAAGCUUUCCAAAUACAGCUUGAGUGGAAUUUAAGUGGGCCAUAGACCAUGUUUCUGCUCCUAUACAUAGACAUGAAUUUUACAAUUUGGAAACAAAACUAAAACAUAAAGUAUUUUCUUAUGUAACACAAAGCUAUCUGAAGUCACAAGGCCAUUCAGACCUAGCUAUCUUUGCCAAUAUUUUACCUUGAAUGCCAUGUUAGUUUUUGUAGAAUAUGAACCUAAACAAUAAAACUUUGCAGUAUUAUUUUAAUGCUUUUAAU
This 1209-nucleotide long non-coding RNA is filed under the name Cyanistes caeruleus (blue tit). Its description in RNAcentral is "lncRNA (ENSCCEG00000024422.1)". Lineage: Eukaryota; Metazoa; Chordata; Aves; Passeriformes; Paridae. The record is from RNAcentral.